UUCUCCUGAAGAGCUUCCGCUUCAAGUUCCUCCUCUUCAAUUGCAGGUUUUUCAUCUUUCUCUCCAACAACUAGUUCUUCAGGUUUCUCUUCAAGUGCCAGUUCUUCAGGUGUUUCCUCCUUUGCCAGCUCUUCAGGUGUUUCCUCCUUUGCCAGCUCUUCAGGUGUUUCUUUAGCUGCCGGUUCUUCAGGUUUCUCUUCAACCUCCGGUUCUUGUGGUAUUUCCUCUACUUGUACUUCAGAUUUCUCCUCAAUUGUUGGUUCUUCAGGUUUCUCUCUAACCGCUGCUGCAUUAGGUUUCUCUUCAUUGGCUGGUUCUUCAGGUUUUUCUUCAACUACCGAUUCUUCAGGAUUUUCCUCAAUGUUUGGAAAGGGAGCGACAUCAUUAUUGGUAUUGCAUGGAAUUUCACUGCCAGUUUUGUCAUUCAAGUCCACAACUAGUAUAUUCUGCAAAAGAGUUUAAUGUUUCACUUAGUCUUUCAAUAAAGAAGCAGAUGCGAAUCAUUACAUAUACAUAACUAAUAACAUGGAUAAACUUUAUGACAGUAGUUGACCCUUACCUUUUCCACAAGAGUUACUUUUGCAGGUUUCUCCUCUUCAAGUGCUGGUUUCUCUUCAAAUGAUAGUUCAUUAGGUGUUUCUUCCCGUGUUGGUUCUUCAUGUGCUUCUUCAGUUACUGGUUUUUCAGGUUUCUCCUCAAUUGUUGGUUCUUCGCUUGUCUUCUCAACUGAUGGUUCCUCAUGCUUCUCUCCCGUUGUUGAUUUUUCGGGUUUCUCUUCAGUUGUCGAUGGUUCAGUUUUUUUCUCAACCGCUGGUUCUUUUGGCUUCUCCAAAACCAUUUCCGAUUUCUCUUCAGUUGGUGGUUCUUCAUGGUUUUUUUCAACUACUGGUUCUUCUCUUUUUUCCUCAACUGAUGCAUAGUCAGCAAUAUCGUUGUUGGUAUUGCUUGGAAUUGCAUUGUCUGUCUUGUCCUUUGAGCUUACAAUUGGCAUAUUCUGCUAGAAAAAUAUAAAGUUUCAUGUAGUCUUUCAACAGAGAAACCAAUGUAAAUUUGUUGCACAUAUAAAGCUAACAAAUAUGAUGGAUAGACUUUGCGAGAGUGUUUAAUACUCACCUUCUCCGGAAGAGCUUCCGUUUCAGGUUCCUCUUCAAUUUCUGCUUUUUCAUCUUUCUCUUCAACAACUAGUUCUUCAGGUGUCUCUUCAACCGUUGAUUCUUCAGGUUUCUCUUCAAGUGUUAGUUCUUGAGGUGUUUCCUCCUUUGCUAGCUCUUCAGGUGUUUCUGUAACUGCCGGUUCUUCAGGUUCCUCUUCAGCCACCGGCUGUUGACGUAUCUCCUCUACUUGUACUUCAGAUUUCUCCUCAAUUGUUGGUUCUUCAGGUUUCUCCUUAACCGCUGGUACAUCAGGUUUAUCCUCAUUGACUGGUUCUUCAACUGCUGAUUCUUCUAGAUUUUCCUCAAUGUCUGGAAAGCGAGCAACAUCAUUAUUGGUAUUGCAUGGAAUUUCAUUUCCAGUUUCGUUAUUCGAGUCUACAAUUAGCAUAUUCUGCAAAAAGAAUUUAAUGUUUCAUUUAGCCUUUCAAUAAAGAAGCAUAUGCGAAUAACAGUACAUGCAUAACUAACAAAAUGGAUAAACUUUGUGAUAGUGCUUGAUCCUUACCUUUGCCAAAAGAGUUACCUUUUCAGGUUUCUCCUCUUCAACGGUUGGUUCUUCAUGUUUCUUUUCAAAUGCUAGUUCCUUGGUUGUUUCUUCCGGUGUUGGUUCCAUAGGUGUUUCUUCAGUUACUUGUUUUUCGGGUUUCUCUUCAAUUAUUGGUUCUUCGAUUGUCUUCUCAACUGAUGGUUCUUCAAGAUUUUCUCCCACUGUUGGUUUUUGGGGUUUCUCUUCUAUUGUUGGUUGUUCAGGAAUUUUCUCAACUGGUGGUUCUGCUGGAUAUUCCAAAACCAUUGAUUCUUCAGAUUUCUCUUCAAUUGAUGGUUCUUCAUGGGUUUUUUCAACUACUGGUUCUUCAAUUUUUUCCUCAACAGAUGCAUAGUCAACAAUAUCAUUAUUGGUAUUGCUUGGAAUUGCAUCGUCUGUCAUGUCCUUUGAGUUUACUUUUGGCAUAUUCUGCAAUAGAGUUUCAUGUAAUCUUUCAACAGAUAAACAGAUGUAAAUUUGUUGCACAUAUAAAGCUAAUAUGGUGGAUAAACUUUGUGACAGUGUUUAAUCCUCACCUUCUCCUGAAGAUCUUCCGCUUCAAGUUCCUCCUCUACAAUUGCAGUUUUUUCCUCUUCCCCUUCAACAACUAGUUCUUCAGGUGCCUCUUCAGCCGUUGAUUCUUCAGGUUUCUCUUCAAGUGCUAGUUCUUCAGGUGUUUCCUCCUUUGCCAGCUCUUCAGGUGUUUCUUUAGAUGCCGAUUCUUCAGGUUUCUCUUCAGCCAUCGGUUCUUGAGGUAUUUCCUCUACUUGUACUUCAUAUUUCUCCUCAAUUGUUUGUUCUUCAGGUUUCUCUUCAGGUUUCUCCUUAACCACUGGUACAUCAGGUUUCUCUUGAUUAACUGGUUCUUUGGGUUUUUCUUCAACAGCCGAAUCUUCAGGAUUUUCCUCAAUGUCUUGAAAGCAAGCAAUAUCUUUAGUGGUAUUGCAUGGAAUUUCACUGCCAGUUUUGUUGUUCGAGUCUACAAUUAGCAUAUUCUGCAAAAGGAAUUUGAUGUUUCAUUUAGCCUUUUAAUAAAGAAGCAGAUGUGAAUAACAUUACAUGCAUAACUUACAAAAUGGAUAAAUUUUGUGACAGUCCUUGACCCUUACCUUUUCAGGUUUCUCCUCUUCAACAGCUGAUUCUUCAUGUUUCUCUUCAAAUGCUAGUUCUCUGGGUGUUUCUUCCCGUAGUGCUUCUUCAUGUGCUUCUUCAGUUACUGGUUUUUCAGGUUUCUCCUCAAUUGUUGGUUCUUUGAUUGUCUCCUCAACAGAUGGUUCUUCAAGCUUCUCUCCCGUUGUUGAUUUUUCUGGUUUCUCUUCAAUUGCUGGUUGUUCAGGAAUUUUCUCAACAGCUGGUUCUUCUGGCUUCUCUAAAACCAUUGAUUCUUCAGCUUUCUCUUCAAUUGAUGGUUCUUCAUGGUUUUUUUCAACUAUUGGUUCUUCAGUUUUUUCCUCAACGGAUGCAUAGUCAACAAUAUCAUUGUUGGUAUUGCUUGGAAUUGCAUCGUCUGUCAUGUCCUUUGAGUUUACUUUUGGCAUAUUCUACAAUAAAGUUUCAUGUAGUCUUUCAAUAGAUAAACAGAUGUAAAUUUGUUGCAACAUAUAAAGCUAAUAUGGUGGAUAAACUUUGUGACAGUGUUUAAUCCUCACCUUCUCCCGAAGAUCUUCCGCUUUAAGUUCCUCCUCUUCAAUUGCUGUUUUUUCAUCUUUCGUUUCAACAACUAGUUCUUCAGGUGCCUCUUCAGCCGUUGAUUCUUCAGGUUUUUCUUCAAGUGCCAGCUCUUCAGGUGUUUCCUCCUUUGCCAUCUCUUCAGGUGUUUCCUCCUUUGCCAGCUCUUCAGGUGUUUCUUUAGCUGCUGGUUCUUCAGGUUUCUCUUCAGCCGCCAGUUCUUGAGGUAUCUCCUUUUCUACUUCAGAUUUCUCCUCAACUGUUGGUUCUUCAGGUUUCUCUUCAUUAACUGGUUCUUUGGGUUUUUCUUCAACAGCCGAAUCUUCAGGAUUUUCCUCAAUGUCUGGAAAGUGAGCAACAUCUUUAUUGGUAUUGCAUGCAAUUUCACUGUCAGUUUUGUCGUUCAAGUCUACAAUUAGCAUAUUCUGCAAAAAGAAUUUGAUGUUUCAUUUAGCCUAUUAAUAAAGAAGCAGAUGUGAAUAACAUUACAUGCAUAACUUACAAAAUGGAUAAACUUUGUGAUGGUCCUUGACCCUUACCUUUCCAGGCUUCUCCUCUUCAACGGCCAGUUCUUGUUUCUCUUCAAAUGCUAGUUCCCUGGGUGUUUCUUCCUGUAUUGGUUCUUCAUGUGCUUCUUCAGGUACUGGUUUUUCAGGUUUCUCCUCAAUUGUUGGUUCUUCGAUUGUCUCCUCAACAGAUGGUUCUUCAAGGUUCUCUCCCGUUGUUGAGUCUUCUGGUUUCUCUUCAAUUGCUGGUUGUUCAGAAAUUUUCUCAACAGCUGGUUCUUCUGGCUUCUCCAAAACCAUUGAUUCUUCAGCUUUCUCUUCAAUUAAAGGUUCUUCAUGGUUUUUUUCAACUACUGUUUCUUCAGUUUUUUCCUCAACGGAUGCAUAGUCAACAACAUCAUUGUUGGUAUUGCUUGGAAUUGCAUCGUCUGUCAUGUCCUUUGAGCUUACUUUUGGCAUAUUCUGCAAUAAAGUUUCAUGUAGUCUUUCAAUAGAUAAACAGAUGUAAAUUUGUUGCACAUAUAAAGCCAAUAUGGUGGAUACACUUUGUGACAGUGUUUAAUCCUCACCUUCUCCUGAAGAUCUUCCGCUUCAAGUUCUUCCUCUUCAAUUGCUGUUUUUUCAUCUCUCUCUUCAACAACUUGUUCUUCAGGUGCCUCUUCAGCCGUUGAUUCUUCAGGUUUCUCUUCAAGCACUAGUUCUUCAGGUGUUUCCUCCUUUGCCAGCUCUUCAGGUGUUUCUUUAGCUGCCAGUUCUUCAGGUUUCUCUUCAGCUGCCGAUUCUUGAGGUAUUUCCUUUACCUGUACUUUAGAUUUCUCCUCAAAUGUUGGUUCUUCAGGUUUCUCCUUAACCGCAGGUACAUCAGGUUUCUCUUCAGCUGCUGGUUUUUGAGGUUUCUCCUCUACUUGUACCUCGGAUUUCUCCUCAACCAUCGGUUCUUCAGGUUUCUCCUCAACCUCUGGUACGUCAGGUUUCUCUUCAUUAACAA
Molecule: long non-coding RNA, 4842 nt
Filed under: Capsicum annuum
Lineage: Eukaryota; Viridiplantae; Streptophyta; Magnoliopsida; Solanales; Solanaceae
Description: long non-coding RNA (CANN_LNC003850)
Source: RNAcentral